This 224-nucleotide ribosomal RNA is filed under the name Aliivibrio fischeri. Its description in RNAcentral is "partial 23S ribosomal RNA". It matches the Rfam family "Bacterial large subunit ribosomal RNA", at positions 2141 to 2364 of the family's 2925-position model. The record is from RNAcentral. Lineage: Bacteria; Pseudomonadati; Pseudomonadota; Gammaproteobacteria; Vibrionales; Vibrionaceae.
GGAUAGGUGGGAGCCUUUGAAACCAGUACGCUAGUAUUGGUGGAGGCAAUCUUGAAAUACCACCCUUGUAUGCUUGAUGUUCUAACGUUGGCCCCUUAUCGGGGUUGCGGACAGUGCCUGGUGGGUAGUUUGACUGGGGCGGUCUCCUCCCAAAGAGUAACGGAGGAGCACGAAGGUGGGCUAAACACGGUUGGACAUCGUGUGGUUAGUGCAAUGGCAUAAGC